Molecule: ribosomal RNA, 372 nt
Filed under: uncultured organism
Description: bacterial SSU rRNA
Rfam family: Bacterial small subunit ribosomal RNA
Source: RNAcentral
CGUAGGUGGCAAGCGUUGUCCGGAAUUAUUGGGCGUAAAGCGCGCGCAGGCGGUUCCUUAAGUCUGAUGUGAAAGCCCCCGGCUCAACCGGGGAAGGUCAUUGGAAACUGGGGAACUUGAGUGCAGAAGAGAAGAGCGGAAUUCCACGUGUAGCGGUGAAAUGCGUAGAGAUGUGGAGGAACACCAGUGGCGAAGGCGGCUCUUUGGUCUGUAACUGACGCUGAGGCGCGAAAGCGUGGGGAGCAAACAGGAUUAGAUACCCUGGUAGUCCACGCCGUAAACGAUGGGUGCUAAGUGUUAGAGGGUUUCCGCCCUUUAGUGCUGCAGCUAACGCAUUAAGCACUCCGCCUGGGGAGUACGGCCGCAAGGCUG